AAAUAUGUUGGAUGAGAAGCUGA
This 23-nucleotide non-coding RNA is filed under the name Cricetulus griseus (Chinese hamster). Lineage: Eukaryota; Metazoa; Chordata; Mammalia; Rodentia; Cricetidae. The record is from RNAcentral.